CCCACUUCUACCGCAGACAGCUGGAGCUGGCGGAGGCGGCGGGGCGGCCGGGCCGGGAGCUGGCCGCCAUCCACGUCUCGCUGGCCGCCACCUUCCGGGACCUGGGCCAGCAUUCCCGGGCCCUGGAGCACUUCCAGAGGGAGCUGCAGCUGCGCCGCGGGGAGCCCCUGGAGGAGUGCCGGACGUGGCUGAACGUGGCGCUGGCGCUGGAGGAG
Molecule: non-coding RNA, 215 nt
Organism: Lonchura striata (white-rumped munia)
Lineage: Eukaryota; Metazoa; Chordata; Aves; Passeriformes; Estrildidae
Source: RefSeq, a predicted model, not a curated record